AUCUGUCCAAAUCAGAUUUGUUUUUGCCUAUAUUAUCGCUUGUGUCUAGCAGCCCCACCUCAUCGAUACUGUCUAGUGCUUCUUCUUCUCUUUAAGAAUUUAUGUCCUCAAAAUAUACAUAAUUUUGCUUCUAAUUAGCGUUAUAGAAUUGCAGCUUUAUGUUUGAUAUUUGCUCUUGUUUACCGUGUUUUGUAGAGGACAUUAUGCUAUAUUGGUGAGUUUAUGUCAUUUCCUCAAUUAAUGUCACACUUGUGGUGAUGC
RNAcentral lists this long non-coding RNA (261 nucleotides) under Solanum tuberosum (potato). RNAcentral describes it as "long non-coding RNA (STUB_LNC003399)". The record is from RNAcentral. Lineage: Eukaryota; Viridiplantae; Streptophyta; Magnoliopsida; Solanales; Solanaceae.